This 492-nucleotide ribosomal RNA is filed under the name uncultured bacterium. RNAcentral's name for it is "partial 16S ribosomal RNA". It matches the Rfam family "Bacterial small subunit ribosomal RNA", at positions 29 to 507 of the family's 1533-position model. The record is from RNAcentral.
AGUGAACGCUGGCGGUAGGCCUAACACAUGCAAGUCGAACGGCAGCACAGUAAGAGCUUGCUCUUACGGGUGGCGAGUGGCGGACGGGUGAGGAAUACAUCGGAAUCUACUUUUUCGUGGGGGAUAACGUAGGGAAACUUACGCUAAUACCGCAUACGACCUACGGGUGAAAGCAGGGGAUCUUCGGACCUUGCGCGAUUGAAUGAGCCGAUGUCGGAUUAGCUAGUUGGCGGGGUAAAGGCCCACCAAGGCGACGAUCCGUAGCUGGUCUGAGAGGAUGAUCAGCCACACUGGAACUGAGACACGGUCCAGACUCCUACGGGAAGCAGCAGUGGGGAAUAUUGGACAAUGGGCGCAAGCCUGAUCCAGCCAUACCGCGUGGGUGAAGAAGACCUUCGGGUUGUAAAGCCCUUUUGUUGGGAAAGAAAAGCAGCAGGUUAAUACCCCGCUGUUCUGACGGUACCCAAAGAAUAAGCACCGGCUAACUUCGUG